UUUUAUGAGAGUUUGAUCCUGGCUCAGGACGAACGCUGGCGGCGUGCCUAAUACAUGCAAGUCGAACGCUUCUUUUUCCACCGGAGCUUGCUCCACCGGAAAAAGAAGAGUGGCGAACGGGUGAGUAACACGUGGGUAACCUGCCCAUCAGAAGGGGAUAACACUUGGAAACAGGUGCUAAUACCGUAUAACAAUCGAAACCGCAUGGUUUUGAUU
RNAcentral lists this ribosomal RNA (216 nucleotides) under Enterococcus faecium. RNAcentral's name for it is "partial 16S ribosomal RNA". It matches the Rfam family "Bacterial small subunit ribosomal RNA", at positions 1 to 201 of the family's 1533-position model. Lineage: Bacteria; Bacillati; Bacillota; Bacilli; Lactobacillales; Enterococcaceae. The record is from RNAcentral.